Molecule: transfer RNA, 64 nt
Filed under: Sinochlora szechwanensis
Lineage: Eukaryota; Metazoa; Arthropoda; Insecta; Orthoptera; Tettigoniidae
Description: tRNA-His
Source: RNAcentral
AUUUGAGUAGUUUAUAAGAAAAUAUUGAUUUGUGGGGUCAAUGAUGUAGAAGAUACCUCAGAUU